CGAGGCCAGAGGGGAGCUCCGAGGUUUAGCGCUUCAUUAGAAAACGAGGAGGCUGGAACAUAUUCCGGAGGAGGACGGAAUUUAUGGUUGCCCUGCCCCGCGGUGAAGCAGAGCACACGUAACCCAGGCGCGGGGGCUAUAAAUCCCCCACGGCAAUCGCGCUGCAGGAAGGACGGUGGCAGCAGCAGCAAAGUUUGGCCACCUAUUAUUUUUCAGAGAUGGUUCAGAAGCUGCUUUUUGCAAAGCCAAGCAGGAGGCUGGCCGGGGCAGCCGCGUCCUCCCCACGGCAAGAGGUGCCAGCGAGGCUGCGUGAGGACACGUGCUGCAGCAGCGACGGGAGCCGGUGCCUCUGCUGCCCUUGCUCUUCGCGCAGGCCACCCGGGAUCGCCGGCUACGGACAAGCAGCGAUUCGAUUCACGCUGCAUUUCAGUCCUGCUCUCGUUUCCGCAGAUGCCCUCCCGCGUGGGACUGGCGCUGGGAGCAGCACCAGCCCUUGCAAACGCCCCCGUCCCGGCGCGGGGACCCUGCCGAGGUGGUGCCCACGCAGCUUCCCAAAGGCCGGUGAGUCUUGGUAAAUCCCCCGCUGCUGCGGAAACCGGGGAGUGAAGGCCGGGAACGUGAACUCGCGUGGACGCGCCGCGGGUGCCGCGGGCAGGGCGCU
Long non-coding RNA from Dromaius novaehollandiae (emu), 661 nucleotides. RefSeq lists it as uncharacterized. The transcript is spliced from 3 exons. The record is from RefSeq and is a predicted model, not a curated record. Lineage: Eukaryota; Metazoa; Chordata; Aves; Casuariiformes; Dromaiidae.